AAGUGGCGAACGGGUGAGUAACACGUGAGUAACCUGCCCACAACUUUGGGAUAACGCUAGGAAACUGGUGCUAAUACUGGAUAUGUGCUCCUGCUGCAUGGUGGGGGUUGGGAAAGCUCCGGCGGUUGUGGAUGGACUCGCGGCCUAUCAGCUUGUUGGUGGGGUAGUGGCCUACCAAGGCGGCGACGGGUAGCCGGCCUGAGAGGGUGACCGGCCACAUUGGGACUGAGAUACGGCCCAG
This 241-nucleotide ribosomal RNA is filed under the name uncultured Actinomycetales bacterium. Its description in RNAcentral is "partial 16S ribosomal RNA". It matches the Rfam family "Bacterial small subunit ribosomal RNA", at positions 93 to 334 of the family's 1533-position model. Lineage: Bacteria; Bacillati; Actinomycetota; Actinomycetes; Actinomycetales. The record is from RNAcentral.